This 253-nucleotide ribosomal RNA is filed under the name uncultured bacterium. RNAcentral's name for it is "partial 16S ribosomal RNA". It matches the Rfam family "Bacterial small subunit ribosomal RNA", at positions 524 to 776 of the family's 1533-position model. The record is from RNAcentral.
UACAGAGGUCUCAAGCGUUGUUCGGAUUCAUUGGGCGUAAAGGGUGCGUAGGUGGCGCCGUUAGUCAGGUGUGAAAUCUCGGGGCUUAACUCCGAAACUGCAUUUGAUACUGCGGUGCUUGAGGACUGGAGAGGAGACUGGAAUUUACGGUGUAGCAGUGAAAUGCGUAGAGAUCGUAAGGAAGACCAGUGGCGAAGGCGGGUCUCUGGACAGUUCCUGACACUGAGGCACGAAGGCCAGGGGAGCAAACGGG